AACGCACAUUGCGCCCGCCAGAAUUCUGGCGGGCAUGCCUGUUCGAGCGUCAUUUCAACCCUCGAGCUCCCCUCUUUUUGGGAGAGCCCGGCGUUGGGGACCCGGCGCUAACACCGCCGGCCCCGAAAUGGAGUGGCGGCCCGUCCGCGGCGACCUCUGCGUAGUAAUAUCCACUCGCACCGGGACCCGGGCGCGGCCACGCCGUUAAACACCCCACCUUCCGAAUGUUGACCUCGAAUCAGGUAGGAAUACCCGCUGAACUUAA
This 265-nucleotide unclassified non-coding RNA is filed under the name uncultured fungus. RNAcentral's name for it is "partial contains 5.8S rRNA and ITS2". Lineage: Eukaryota; Fungi. The record is from RNAcentral.